Coturnix japonica (Japanese quail) is the source of this 6599-nucleotide non-coding RNA. The record is from RefSeq and is a predicted model, not a curated record. NCBI's taxonomy places the organism in Eukaryota, Metazoa, Chordata, Aves, Galliformes, Phasianidae.
UGGUGGUGGUGCCAAAGCUGGCAGGCAUGGGCACUGCGGGUGGGAAGACCGGCUGCCCUGAGGGACCCACGUGUCCCCACACCACUUACUGCUGCUGCAGGUACACUUUGCAGGGCCCUUGCUGCCUGCACUGGGCAGGGCCAGGGAAACAGAAGCGAUACUAUGGGGCCAGGCAUUGAGAUGCUGCAAGCAUCCCCAGGCAUGACCCUGCACAGCACAGCCAAAACCUUGCUCGAAAAACCUCCAAGCCUCGCAGAACUGCUCAUCAGGGUCCAGGAACGAGUCAGACUGAGGCAGGCUCUGCCGGCACAUCCAGUGCGAGUAGUGGGGGCUGCACAUCAGUUACCCAGUGAUGUCACAGCCCAUGGACUGCCCACUCGCACAGCAUCCACCUAUGCUGCAGGCGCUACCGGGCGGCCGGUUAGCUCAGUUGGCUAGAGCGUGUGGCAGAGCGUGGUGCUAAUAACGCCAAGGUCGCGGGUUCGAUCCCCGUACGGGCCAAGCAUGAGUUCAGAUGCGGUGGCAUAUCAAAGGCAAAAGGCCUUUAAAGAGUCCCGGAGCUUUCGGCUCAGUGCCCCGAGAUGGCCAAGAAGGCCAAAAGCAAAUGUAAUGGUGUGAAUGAGGACUGGACACGGGUUCCUUUUUUCUCCCUUUUUUUCUUUUUUCGACUGAGGUCUUUCGAGUUCUGGCGUUCAGGACAGCCUGUGGUGUGGAGUCUUUGCCAUUUCGCCUAGAAGUUACGUUAGAACUGAAAAAGGCUGCAAAAGGAAUUACAGAGAUUGGAGCUGAAAAAAAAAUGUGAAAAACAAUUCAGUGCUCACACUGGCAUUCAUGUUUAAUUGCAGGUGUUAACCAUCCAUCUUAUCUGUGGAAGAAGGACUGAACAUGAGGUUAUAGAAGAGUAUGAGAAGACCGAGUGAGGAUUUUAGAUAACAACAGAUCAGGUUUGGAAACAGGUUCCUCACACUAGUCUGUCUGCUCCAUGUGUUCUUAUGGUAUAUCUACUACCUAGUCUGUCAGAGGCCAUAGGCUGUCUAAGAGGAGUUCUAGAACUAGAAUAUUAACAUGAAUUAUAUAAUGAAAAUAAAUGCAGUUGAUGCCGUGCAUUUUUUUUCUUUGGCUUCCAUUCCUGCCAAUCUUUUUUUCUCCUAGAAAUGCUAUGGGUACAGUGUUUUGGCUUGAGGUUGAUAUUUUGAUAUGUUCCAGUCCUGGUCCAAGAGAUGCAUACUGAAACUCACACAGUCUCUGCAGGAUUUCAGAAUACAGUUCCUUAUUAUUACCACUCUGUUCUGCGUUAUGUAAGUGCAAUGCUUACAUCAGACAACUUCAGAGAUGUUAAAGAGAAAUUCUUUGAAUAUAUACUAUGGCCAGGAAGUGAUUGUUCUUAUGGGAUAUGAAGUUAAGCUUUUUUUUUUUUUUUUUUUUUUUUUUUCCCCCUAAGUAAUCUACAGAUAGGACACCUACAAAGAUAACAUUUGAUAAGGUGCUGAGCUGAAUGCAGAGUCACCUCCAGUUUUCAGGCAUUGGAUGUACGUGGGAUAUAUUUGUUAAUUUCCAAAUAAACUUUUUACACAUUCCUCUCUGUUCUACAAUGACACUUCAGAAGAAGAGAAUUUAGUUUAGAACUAUAACUCCAAAUGACUUUCCUCCAAAGUACUUUAAUUCUCCAUUAGAUAAAGACCUUGAUGGGACGCCUGUUUUCUCAGGAUUGUUUUAGACUCUGACAUUCUAAAAGGGCAUAUUUUAAAAUAUAAAGGCUGAAAUAUGCAUGUGUAGAUUUUUUUCUUCAAUGAACUUCAUGCAAGAGCAGAAUUACUUUAACGUAAAGGGAUUAUUACUUAAGGAACAGAUACACCUAGAUUGUGUUGGUUACCUUAAAAUAUUGAGGCCAAGGCACGUGAUUUACACUACUUUAUAGAAAUUAUGUGUCUUCUGUAGUUAAUCACAGAACUCUGUAGAGGUCAGCUGUCUUCAUAGUUUCAAAAAUAUAACCCCAGACAGUCCAGGCUUGAUCUCAAAACAAAACAAAACAAAACAAAAAACAAAACAACAAAAACCAGUGUAACCUCAUUAUGAUCAACAUGAAAAAAAGGGUUGCUCAGACACAGUUAUUAAAAACAACAUAUCCUUCAUUUUGGAAGGUGACUAUGGCAAAAUUUCAGCACAUCUGUGUCACAAAUAACUCUCAAUUCUUUAAACUUUUGUAAUGUAUAUUCACAGUUUCAGAGCCAGAAAGAACAUUAACUCAUCUAGUCAGACCAAAGGCCAGGGAAUUCUGUGCAGUUACUAUUGCGCUGUCCAACCACACAGGCUGUGGGCUAAGGCCUGUCUCUGGAACAACAACCCAGCUUGCAUGAACAACAUUAAGAGAUGGUGAAAGUGUCCUUUUCUGGAUUAACUCAGUCAGUAAUUAAUCUCUUGCAGUGUUCAAUAUGUAUUUCUUGUUUCUAACUUAAAUAUUCGUAUCUUCAUUUGGCAGCUCACUGUUUUCCCCUUAGGAAGGUUAACACACCUCAAAAACACAUGCAGUUUUAGGAAGACAUAUCCAUGACCACUGCAGAACCAUGAAGAAAUCACAAUUCAGUCUGAAAACUGGCAAGUUUUUUAACAAGGGAUUAGCUGAUGCUCCUGUACUUUCAAACUUUACAUGACAAAACCCUCCUUAUCUAAAAUCACAGCCUGUUCCAAACACUGACUAUUUCAAAUCCAGGCUUCAGAGUGCUAAGAAAGAGAUUUGCUUAUCAUUAGUACUAUCAUUUGCUGUACAUGUGGGUUCCAGGGCAAAAGGGAGAACUCUAUUUAGCAAGCAAUGAUGUAAAACAAAAAUUUAUCAUUAAAACUGAAUAACACUGACAAACUGAAAUUAUUCUCUCAUUGGAAGCUGCUGUCUGUGUUANUCAUCUUUCUUGUGGGCAGGGGAAAAAAUCUUUUCAAGGGUCCUAAAUUAACCAGGAGGGUCAUAUGAAAUAAGAUUUGUGCAUCUCUCAGAAUUAAGAUUUGUCAUUGAAUCUUUGGACCUCAUUGCACCUAAUUUCAUUUGCAGAACAGAACUCUUGUGAAUACUUGGCCAGUAGGUGUGGGUACUGGGGGAAGGUCACAGAGGAAAAGAGCACAACAGCUCUUUCAGUGCAGGCAUCUGUGAUCCCACUAGGGAGAGCUCAUGCACUGCUGUCUCGCUGAAAUAACUGCAAAUACGAUCAAUUUAUUUAUUUAUUUUAUUUUAUCCAUUUUUAAAUGUAAUAUUACAACAGACACACGAGGCCUGAAGCACAUGCAUCUAAUAUUUAAAAGGGCAGAAUACAGCAGGAAAUGUUUAGGAUGUUUCUGCUUAUACCCUUCUUGUUGUAAUCAGGUUUGCCAUUUCUUUUCUGAGCUGUAAAUGUUCAUAACAAAAUCAGAACAGAGGCAUCUAUUGCAUACAUCUUGUUUUCUCUCUCCAUCGUUUUUUAAGUACAGAUGACUGCCACCUUUCUCACCUCCACUCCUUGUAUACACUUCUCAGACUGGGAACCAGUCUCUCUGUGCCUGCUUUACUUACUUAUCUGUAAAACUGGGAUAAUGAUUAUUUCUACACCUGCCUUCACUAGGUGGUUGACAGAGCCUUCAAAGCAGAGGCCAGAUGUGGGAUCACUUUCAAUUGCAGCCCCCUGCUUUUUCUGCAUCCUGAAUAAGUCAUAAUCUGAAGCAUAUCACCAACACAAAAAGGAAAUACUAGGUAUUGUAUGGGGAAGAGGUCAGUACUUCACAGUAAAUUCGGGUAAGAGAAGAGUGAGAUCAUUUUCCAAUCUUGGAAAGCUGUCUCACAGUAAAGUACUAUUUCCAUCUGGGAGUAGAUAGUGGUGUUUCUGAUGCAAGCCCUUCUAUAGCAAACAUAUUCACUACGGAACUGUGAAAGCUGCUACAAACCACCAGAGGCUGCUAUUACCAAAUAUAAAAAACAACAAACCAAUAAAAAUAAAUAACCAAUGAAAUACUCUUAUCCAUUAUAGGACAAGGUAGUCGUCUUUCUUUCUGUAUGUAUUUCCCUCCUACAUUUUUUGCCCAUAUCUUUCAAAACGUAGAGCCAAGCCAAUUUGGAAAGAUGAAAAGAUCAGGAAAAACAAGGAUGUUGGGCCCUUCAAGUUUAAAUGUAUGAAGAGGAAACUUUGCCUGUCAGUCUAGGGUCUUGUGGGGAAUCAAACUGCCUGUAUGUUUUGUUUCCUCUCCUUUCUCACAUGGAUUGCAGUCUUUUAUUAUACUUCUUUGUAUAUGGGGCAGAAUAGUGACCACUUUCACAAACCUGGAGAUGUAAACGAAACAGAUUGCCUCAGAGUAACAUUAGUAACAUUUCCCAAUGCACAGAUCUGAAGGAGUUGAGGCCAGGCUCCCAUACAAGACCUCUGAUACCCCAGCCCUGGGCACUGCCAUACCAUUGCCACACCUGUAGCCUGGGGAUUCUGCAGCUUGUAGUUUUCCUAGAGCAGCUCACUACUGCAUUGUCAAAGCCUGUAAAGGUGGAGCAGUUAGGCUCUGUCACCAGAGAUGGUAAUGUGUAUUGCCUUCUGUGUCUGACCUGGGGUGUUGAGGAGAUUUUCAGUCGCCUUGACAGAUGAACCAGGACCUGCAGGUAUGAUGUGGUGUUGGGGCCCCUGCUUAAGCACAGCAAACUUUUGUAAAUUUAUUCACAGCAAGGGCUCCUCCAGUCAAAUCCUGGCCUGUACUCCAUGCACAUGAACAGGAAUGAAACCUUGCUGCAAAAGCUUUGAUUUCUGAUAUUCAGCAAAACCCAAAGUGGCUGGCCUUCCUGAUGGAUACAGUAAUACUUGGACUAUUUAUUGCUCUCUGUUUCUAAAUGAUAAGGUAAAAAGGGGCAAAGUGUUCUUCAACAGCAAUAGCAUUUCGAAAAACAGAAAUCUCCAUCCUCUUGUUGACUCACUGCGUCAACUCUUAUUGUAGUCACACACUUUUACAUGACUACCCACACUCAACUGCAAAAUUCAGCAGCCUCUUCACUAAUGAAAAUAAAGUUCACCUGUAGAAACUAGAUAAAUCCCUGCUUGCAGGUGCAAAACAAACACAAAACAGAACUACUUUUCAGAAAGUAGGAAAGGAAUAUAGCCAGUAUAAUGUAUCAUAAGAAGUUACUCCUUCAUUUAAGUGGAAUAUUAAUUAUUCAAUUUCUCUGGAGUUCCUGCUAUCAAAACUGAGGAGCCUUACACUCCUUUUAACAUCUCCCAGUAUCAAAUCUUGUGGCACUGUCACAAAUCUGCAGUAAAGGACAGUAAAGUUUCACUUAAAUUACUUGCGAUCAAUUGCUACCAGUUGCUGUUGCUCCUCCAGCUUCCUGUUCUUGACUAAACUUUGACAAAUCUCUCUUACAAUAUAUUUUUCAUUCCAGAGAUUCAUGGUUCUACAUUAGAUAAGGGUAGAAACCCACACCAGCACAAUUAGAAGCAUUCUUGCUCAGACCUCCAGGUUUAAUUCUAUCCACAAUAUUUUUGCUCCUUUACAAACAACAUGACCACUCUUCAAAAUGCAAAUAAAACCAAAUUAUGCUCAGGCAUGUCCACUUGCCCCUGCUUGGCUCCCUUUCUCUUCACCAGACCAUGUAUCUGAUUUUCCAAGAUCUGAAUUCUGGAGCAGAAGGGGAGGAAAGAGGGUAGGGAACUUCUUAUUAAGGCCUCAUCAGUUUUGUAUACUGUGAAUACAGUAUACUGGACAUUAAAAUCUGGUCUCUGGCUCCUAAUAGAGAAAGUAUCUGUCCAAAAGAGAAAGGGAAACAAACAAAUUCCAAAAGGAUUACGUUAAACAACAAGGUACUCUGUAGGAAUCUAGUGGAAAGAAGAGGAAAUAAGCUGAAAGGGCUAAGAGACAAGCCUGAACAUUUUACAUAUGUUGUCUUAUUGUGUAUGGGAAAAAUUCUGUUAAAAGUAAAUGGAAGGGGCAUUCCUCAAAGUGGAAAAGUAGUAAUGGUCUGCAGCAGUAAUGGAAAUGAAAAUCCGACCUACAUAACAAUUUUUAAGCAAGUCUGUUCCCAUCACAUCUCGGGAAACAGAUGCCAACCUUGUGAUGAAAAAGAUCGAGCUCAGAGAGCGAAAGUCUUUGCUUUCAAGCUUCCUUUUAAUGGAAGGUGAGAAUUGUUUUAAAAUUAAGAGUUAGCUGGAGGCUAAGAAAUGGAAGUCUGCUUCAGAGUGAUCUGCACAUGUAAAUAGAUAAUAUAUUCCUCAAUAUUGUGCAUGACCUGGCUGGGGAGCUGAUCCAACACCAAAUCCAAGGCAAGUUGUAGUAGCUAGCAGAACAGCUGAAGAGAAGAAGCAGUGUGGGGAGAUGAUGCCAGAAAAAUGGAUCAAACUGCCGCAGCAGCAUUGCUUUAAUUUGGGCUUUGAUGACCUGCAGGACUUAUGACUUCACCCUCUGCUUGAUGCUCCUCAGCUGCAAGUCCUACUUCAGGAGGGAGCAAAUGUCUGUCUAACCUUGCAAGGACAUCCUCAGCAAAAAGAAAAAUUAGGAGAGGUCUGUAAAGUAGCAAGUUACUGCAGCCAUCAAGUACCAGGCAUCCCUCCAACAAACUUUCUCUUUAAGAAAAUAUUUUAAUAAUAUUUUGAUAAUCUAUCUUCUUU